GUUUAGGCUAGAGGUCGCUGGUCCUAAAGAGUGCAUAGCUCUUCCACCUCGAGAUCGGAUCGGCCUUUACGAAGAGUCUUGUAAGGCCGGGCUUAGAUUGUCUUUUAAUUUUUUAAUUGUAAAGAUGUUAAAUACAUAUCAAAUAACCCCAUGCUAUAUUGCACUGAACUCAUAACAUUUAAUCAUAGCUUUUUUGACUCACCAUCUUCUCUUCGGGCUCGAACAACUACCCACCUCUUCAGGACAUGCUUCAUAUUAAAGGAGCAUCCUAAGAAGGAUAGAUGGUGGUAUGUCUUCCCUUAGAAGGGACGACAACUCUUCUGAGGUGCUCCUUUCUCGAUUCACAAUAGAAAAAAGUGGUAUUUUUUUUUAUCUUGGCCGAGCAAUCAUGAGACAUUAGCACAUUAUGGGAUCACCCUCGAUAAUCAACAUCUUUUUAAAAAAAUUAAUAAUAUUCUAAAAGAACUCUAAAUUUAAUUUUUUUUUAUGUGGUGCACGGACUCUAUACAGAAAAUAUUUUUUAAAAAAAUAUUUAAGAAGAGUCUCACUCAAAUAUGGAUUUAUUUUGAAUUUUAUUUAAAUCACU
RNAcentral lists this long non-coding RNA (586 nucleotides) under Elaeis guineensis (African oil palm). RNAcentral's name for it is "long non-coding RNA (EGUI_LNC026372)". The record is from RNAcentral. Lineage: Eukaryota; Viridiplantae; Streptophyta; Magnoliopsida; Arecales; Arecaceae.